RNAcentral lists this ribosomal RNA (1995 nucleotides) under Triticum aestivum (bread wheat). RNAcentral describes it as "partial small subunit ribosomal RNA". The record is from RNAcentral. Lineage: Eukaryota; Viridiplantae; Streptophyta; Magnoliopsida; Poales; Poaceae.
GAGUAGAGGCGGUGUGGGAGAGUAGGCCAGGCCAGGUGGGUGGCCCAGAGGAGGACGCCACGGGGUUUUUUACCGCGGUUAGGGAGGGGUUAGAGGGCGGCGUGGGGGGUCGAUAAAGGGGAGGCGCGGGGUCGGGAUCGGCGCGGCCCCGUUUGGGAUUGGGGUACAGGAGGAGGAGGAGCGACGGGCGGUUCGGCGGGGGCGGCGGCGCGGGGUUCUGCGCCCCGUCGAUGUUGACGCCGGCUACGCCGGUCGGGUUCUUCCCGGUGCAGACGUUGGAGGGGAGGGGCCGGCGGCGGCUGCCGCCGCGGCGCGGGGGGAGGGGCAGCGGGAGGAGGAGGCCGCCCCUGUGGGCGGAGGCGGCGCGGGAGAGGAAGCUGCUCGGGAGGAGGGGGCUCUUCUUCGGGUCCGGGCUGGUACUGCCGGCGUGGUACCUCGACCCGCCGGCCCGGCACGGCCACCUGGAGCAGCAGCUCCACGACGCGGCCGAGCCGGGGUCCCCGCAGGAGCUGCGGCGGCGGCAGUCGGCGCGGACCGCGCUGACGCGGCUGGCCCAGACCGCGCAGCGGCUCCUCGAGGCGGAGGCGGGCCGGCGGCGGCCGGAGGAGCCGCGCGACGAGGGGGCGACGCGGCGCGAGAGCGCGGAGCAGGAGGUGUACCUUUCACGACAACUACGGUGGUACGACAGUACAGAACGUAAAAGGACAAGUUCAAACCUUUGAGACCUCUAGUGGUACCGGCUGUUCCGUUAGUUGUUAUACUGACCUCUCCUCGAUUCAGCUGAACAAAGUCUCUUCGUAAGAGAGAGUUAAGAGUUUUAGCCACCGACGAGAUUAGAACCAAAAGAAUUAGAUUCGAGAAGUUCGGAAUUACAAGAAACCGAUAGUCUAGAAACGAGGGAAAGCCUUAGCCAGUAUUCGACGGGAUUAUACUCGCUCGAGAGGGACACAAAGUGUGUUGUUUCAAGCCUUACAUGACUGGACCAAUCAAACUACCUACCGGACCCGGCUAGCACGGGAUUGAAUUCUUUAAACGUGUAUAGUAGUUAAGUUGAUAGAUUACUUCGACACAGGCGAGAUCUCCGACGGUUGGAGUCCCCGAACACGUACGAUAGGAACUAAGAGCCAAGUUUUUACUGUCUACGUCGACAACGUAGAUAGCAGUCUAGAACACGUUCGAACCUUAACGAACUAAAUUCACCUAGAUCGUAGUCACUAUCACCACAACCAUACUAGACGUUCCGCAAGGGAGUAUGAAAUAGCUCCGACGAGGAACGAGAGACGGGUUUAUAAUGAUGUACACCCUAGGUCCGACGUUGUCGUGUUAACGGUGAAGAAGUCGAGUACCUGACACCUUACUCGAAUGCAAGAUUGAACGUCUUACUUUUUGUCCCCCGAAUAAAACCACUCUAGUUACCUUCCUAAUCUAACACGGGUUUUAAUGGGUGGAAUUUUUUCGUUGGAUACGCGGUUUUCGACUAGUAUUUCGUACUAUUAAACUUCUUCGAGUCAGAUACCCCGACAAGUCGUUAUCUACGAAACAUACACUUUACGGGUCUCAACUAACUAGACUUGGAGUUGUGAACAUGUUUAGAUGUGGGUCUCGCCGACGAUGAAGUCACGGGUUUAGACUUCUUACAUGUACGUAAACCUACGGUUCUAUACAACUAACCACGUUAUUUUUUGGUCGACUUGGUGUAGAAGGUACGUUCGCCGAUCGUCUGCCAAGCUUUGCCCAAGUCGAGAGUGUUAAAGGUGUUCUCGUCAAUGGCCUCCUGUUUUAUACCUAACCUAAGUUCGCCAGCCUCACGUAACAAGUAGAACUAAGAACUAAUUAUUAUUGUUAGUGUAUUGGUAUCGAUCUCUUGGCGAGUAACACGCGUGAGACUAAACACUUUAAUCUGUUAACCGCUCAUAAAUAAAUAAACAAAACACGUGGAGGUUUGGGUAUUAUACAUUACACGGACAACAUAUUCGACGAUGUACCUUAACUUUG